Molecule: ribosomal RNA, 468 nt
Filed under: uncultured bacterium
Lineage: Bacteria
Description: partial 16S ribosomal RNA
Rfam family: Bacterial small subunit ribosomal RNA
Source: RNAcentral
GAUGAACGCUGGCGGCGUGCUUAACACAUGCAAGUCGAACGGAAAGGCCCAAGCUUGCUUGGGUACUCGAGUGGCGAACGGGUGAGUAACACGUGGGUGAUCUGCCCUGCACUUCGGGAUAAGCCUGGGAAACUGGGUCUAAUACCGGAUAGGACCACUUCUUGGAUGUUGAGGUGGAAAGUUUUCUCGGUGUGGGAUGAGCUCGCGGCCUAUCAGCUUGUUGGUGGGGUAAUGGCCUACCAAGGCGUCGACGGGUAGCCGGCCUGAGAGGGUGUACGGCCACAUUGGGACUGAGAUACGGCCCAGACUCCUACGGGAGGCAGCAAUGGGGAAUAUUGCACAAUGGGCGCAAGCCUGAUGCAGCGACGCCGCGUGGGGGAUGACGGCCUUCGGGUUGUAAACUCCUUUCGCUAGGGACGAAGCGUUUUUGUGACGGUACCUGGAGAAGAAGCACCGGCUAACUACGUG